Molecule: ribosomal RNA, 449 nt
Filed under: uncultured bacterium
Lineage: Bacteria
Description: bacterial SSU rRNA
Rfam family: Bacterial small subunit ribosomal RNA
Source: RNAcentral
AACGAACGCUGGCGGCAUGCCUAACACAUGCAAGUCGAACGAGACCUUCGGGUCUAGUGGCGCACGGGUGCGUAACGCGUGGGAAUCUGCCCUUAGGUUCGGAAUAACUUCGGGAAACUGAAGCUAAUACCGGAUGAUGACGUAAGUCCAAAGAUUUAUCGCCUAAGGAUGAGCCCGCGUAGGAUUAGCUAGUUGGUGAGGUAAAGGCUCACCAAGGCGACGAUCCUUAGCUGGUCUGAGAGGAUGAUCAGCCACACUGGGACUGAGACACGGCCCAGACUCCUACGGGAGGCAGCAGUGGGAAUAUGGACAAUGGGCGAAAGCCUGAUCCAGCAAUGCCGCGUGAGUGAUGAAGGCCUUAGGGUUGUAAAGCUCUUUUACCCGGGAUGAUAAUGACAGUACCGGGAGAAUAAGCUCCGGCUAAACUCCGUGCCAGCAGCCGCGGUAAU